RNAcentral lists this long non-coding RNA (1365 nucleotides) under Oryza sativa (Asian cultivated rice). Its description in RNAcentral is "long non-coding RNA (OSAT_LNC000761)". Lineage: Eukaryota; Viridiplantae; Streptophyta; Magnoliopsida; Poales; Poaceae. The record is from RNAcentral.
CGAUGAAUUUUGUAGGACUUGUGGGGAGCCAGGUCACCGGCAGUACGCUUGCCCUAACAGGACGUCAACAUUCAAUGAGCGAGGUGUCAGUGCAAGAUCUGCGGGGAUGGCGGGCAUCCAACAAUUGAUUGUCCUGUCAAGGGCACUACUGGGAAGAAAAUGGAUGAUGAGUACCAGAACUUCUUGAAUGAGCUUGGGGGGAGCGCCCCUGAGUCGGUGACAAAGUCUAGUGGUCCAAUGUUGGCUCUUACAGGGAGCGGCGGGAGUGGUGGCAGCAGCGGCGGCGUUGGUGCUGGUAGUGGUAGUAACCCGCCAUGGGCUGCAGGUGGUGGUGCUGCUGCCUCAGGGGCAAAUGGGAUCAAGAAGGAGUAUGAUGAGACCAAUCUGUACAUUGGGUACUUGCCACCUACCCUGGAUGAUUCAGGGCUGAUAGGCCUGUUUUCACAAUUUGGAGAGAUUGUCAUGGCGAAGGUUAUCAGAGAUCGCAUCACUGGGCAGAGCAAAGGAUACGGUUUUGUGAAGUAUUCGGAUGUAUCCCAGGCUAACGCGGCAAUCGCUGCGAUGAACGGUUACCAUCUUGAAGGGAGAGUGAUUGCUGUUAGAGUUGCAGGAAAGCCGCCACAGCCAGCUGUUCCUCCUGGCCCACCUGCAGUGCCAGCACCACCAACAUAUCCUCCUGCAGAUCCUGCUGCUGGUGGCUACACCUCACAGCCCUACAUGGGAGCACCACCGCCACCACCUCCAGGGAGCUAUGCUCCAGUUCCUUGGGGGCAACCGCCACCAUAUGCUUCAUACCCUCCGCCGCCACCAGGUUCUAGCAUGUACAAUCCUCCACCUCCUGCACCAGGCCAAGCUACACCACCUCCAUAUGGUGUGCAGUAUGCACCACCACCAGCUCCAAUCCCUCCACCAGGCACUGCUCCAUCAACUGAUGGGGCGCAGAACUACCCUCCUGGUGUAACACCACCAAGUUCUGGUGCACCUACUCAGCCUGUCCCAGCUCCAGUAUAUGGAACUUCCGGCGCACCAAAUGCGCCACCUAUGUACCCUCCACCUCCUUAUGGUUAUGCCUCUUAUUAUCCAUCGGUGACACCAGUUCAGCCGCCACCACCUCCACCACCUGCUGGCGCUGAUCCCUCGCAGAGCCUUGCAAAUGCACCGUGGGCAACUCACAGUGCACCACCUCCACCUCCUUCUGGUGCUGAUCCGUCGCAGAGCAUCGCAAAUGCACCCUGGGCAACUCACAGUGCACCACCUCCACCACCAGCUACUGCUGAUCACUCACAGAGCAUUGCAAGUGCACCUUGGGCCACUCACAAUGCACCGCCUCCACCACCACCACCUUCCAGCAUUGAGCAGCCUCCU